RNAcentral lists this ribosomal RNA (861 nucleotides) under uncultured Flavobacteriaceae bacterium. RNAcentral's name for it is "bacterial SSU rRNA". It matches the Rfam family "Bacterial small subunit ribosomal RNA", at positions 35 to 886 of the family's 1533-position model. Lineage: Bacteria; Pseudomonadati; Bacteroidota; Flavobacteriia; Flavobacteriales; Flavobacteriaceae. The record is from RNAcentral.
GCUAGCGGCAGGCUUAACACAUGCAAGUCGAGGGGUAACAGGGAUUGCUUGCAAUCCGCUGACGACCGGCGCACGGGUGCGUAACGCGUAUGCAACUUACCUUUUACUGGGGGAUAGUCAAGAGAAAUUUUGAAUAAUACCCCAUACGAUCUAAUUCACUCCUGUGAGAUAGAAGAAAAUUACGAUGGUAAAAGAUAGGCAUGCGUCCUAUUAGUUUGUUGGUGAGGUAACGGCUCACCAAGACUACGAUAGGUAGGGGUCCUGAGAGGGAGAUCCCCCACACUGGUACUGAGACACGGACCAGACUCCUACGGGAGGCAGCAGUGAGGAAUAUUGGACAAUGGAGGCAACUCUGAUCCAGCCAUGCCGCGUGCAGGAAGACGGCCCUAUGGGUUGUAAACUGCUUUUAUACAGGAAGAAACGUUAGUACGUGUACUAGCCUGACGGUACUGUAAGAAUAAGGAUCGGCUAACUCCGUGCCAGCAGCCGCGGUAAUACGGAGGAUCCAAGCGUUAUCCGGAAUCAUUGGGUUUAAAGGGUCCGCAGGCGGUCUAUUAAGUCAGAGGUGAAAUCCUAUCGCUCAACGAUAGAACUGCCUUUGAUACUGGUAGACUUGAGUUAUUGUGAAGUAGUUAGAAUGUGUAGUGUAGCGGUGAAAUGCAUAGAUAUUACACAGAAUACCGAUUGCGAAGGCAGAUUACUAACAAUAUACUGACGCUCAGGGACGAAAGCGUGGGUAGCGAACAGGAUUAGAUACCCUGGUAGUCCACGCCGUAAACGAUGGUCACUAGCUGUUUGAUUAACAUUGGUUAGUUGAGUGGCUAAGCGAAAGUGAUAAGUGACCCACCUGGGGAGUACGCU